This 460-nucleotide ribosomal RNA is filed under the name uncultured bacterium. RNAcentral's name for it is "partial 16S ribosomal RNA". It matches the Rfam family "Bacterial small subunit ribosomal RNA", at positions 338 to 795 of the family's 1533-position model. The record is from RNAcentral.
CCUACGGGAGGCAGCAGUGAGGAAUAUUGGUCAAUGGACGAGAGUCUGAACCAGCCAAGUAGCGUGAAGGAUGACUGCCCUAUGGGUUGUAAACUUCUUUUAUAUGGGAAUAAAACGUUCCACGUGUGGGAUUUUGUAUGUACCAUAUGAAUAAGGAUCGGCUAACUCCGUGCCAGCAGCCGCGGUAAUACGGAGGAUCCGAGCGUUAUCCGGAUUUAUUGGGUUUAAAGGGAGCGUAGGUGGAUUGUUAAGUCAGUUGUGAAAGUUUGCGGCUCAACCGUAAAAUUGCAGUUGAUACUGGCAGUCUUGAGUACAGUAGAGGUGGGCGGAAUUCGUGGUGUAGCGGUGAAAUGCUUAGAUAUCACGAAGAACUCCGAUUGCGAAGGCAGUUCACUGGACUGCAACUGACACUGAGGCUCGAAAGUGUGGGUAUCAAACAGGAUUAGAUACCCCGGUAGUC